RNAcentral lists this long non-coding RNA (254 nucleotides) under Ictidomys tridecemlineatus (thirteen-lined ground squirrel). RNAcentral describes it as "lncRNA (ENSSTOG00000030231.1)". The record is from RNAcentral. Lineage: Eukaryota; Metazoa; Chordata; Mammalia; Rodentia; Sciuridae.
CUGGUUCUAGGAAUCGCGGAAUCUAUCCCUUUGGAAGCCAGAGGGAGCCAGGAAGGAGACGGCUAAGAGGGGUCGGGGUGCUUGUGUCCAUCAACAUUUCCUAGCUCUAUCCAUCGAUUACCUCGGGGUGAAAAGUGCAUGGUUACCAUUGUCAAAUUGAAGGGGAGAACCGUGAUCAUUUAGCUGGAAGCGUCUUUUUCGACAUUUCAGGAAGGUGAAGAUAUUUCUUUCAGACUCUCUCUCUCUAUGCUAUA